UGAGGAAUAUUGGGCAAUGCCCGCAAGGGUGACCCAGCAACGCCGCGUGGAGGAUGAAUGUCGUAAGAUUGUAAACUCCUGUUAGAGGGGAAGAAUAGUACCGGUUGGACCGGUAUAUGACUGUACCCUCAGAGAAAGCCCCGGCUAACUACGUGCCAGCAGCCGCGGUAAUACGUAGGGGGCAAGCGUUGUCCGGAUUUACUGGGUGUAAAGGGCGCGCAGGCGGGAUAAAAAGUCAGUGGUGAAAUCCUACAGCUUAACUGUAGAACUGCCUUUGAUACUUUUAUUCUUGAGUUCGGGAGAGAGAGACGGAAUUCCAGGUGUAGUGGUGAAAUACGUAGAUAUCUGGAAGAACACCGGUUGCGAAGGCGGUCUCUUGGUCCGACACUGACGCUGAGGCGCGAAAGCGUGGGGAGCAAACA
RNAcentral lists this ribosomal RNA (422 nucleotides) under uncultured bacterium. RNAcentral's name for it is "bacterial SSU rRNA". It matches the Rfam family "Bacterial small subunit ribosomal RNA", at positions 355 to 774 of the family's 1533-position model. The record is from RNAcentral.